AUUUUUUCACUCAAUAUCCAAUUCCAAAUAAUUCUUCGGUAUUUUUUUUUUCUCAUUCGAUUUUUAAAAUUUGGUUUCAUUUUUAUUUUCUACAGAAAUGAGCAAAACUCGUUGAAGAAAGAGGUAAAUUACUACUUCCCAGAAUUUUUUUUUUUAAGAUUCCGUUUUGCCAAAAAAAAAAAACAAAAAUGAUGUUUUUGAUUCAGGUUUGGUUGAAAUUUUGAUUAUUGGAUCGAUACUUGUUUCAGAUUUAUUUCUAAUUCAGAAACGAAAUAAUGGGAAAUUUUUUUUUCUUUUACUUGAUUUUGACGUAAAUAAAACUUGAUCAAUUAGAUGAGAAUUGUUUGAGAUUGAAGAAAAUCUGGUUGAUUUUUCUAUGUCAAUUUGGCAUUCCCAUAAUUUAAAUUUAUUUGUGUUUUUUUUUCGUGAUUAAUAAUAAUUUAGUAAUUAUGGUGUAAUACUUGAAACAAUUUAGCUGAUUAUUGGCAAAUUUGUUUCCCUAUUUUGAUGAUAUCAGAAGCUUUUUGUAUAAUCCGAAACGAUGUCGAGAAAAUCACGUGGAUUUGGAGCAGAGAAAUCUCUGUCGCCUGAAGAGCAGCAAGCCAAAGUAUGCAUCAAAAUAUUGAUUAAGAUGUUG
Molecule: long non-coding RNA, 637 nt
Filed under: Citrus maxima (pomelo)
Lineage: Eukaryota; Viridiplantae; Streptophyta; Magnoliopsida; Sapindales; Rutaceae
Description: long non-coding RNA (CMAX_LNC002791)
Source: RNAcentral